This 253-nucleotide ribosomal RNA is filed under the name uncultured bacterium. RNAcentral's name for it is "partial 16S ribosomal RNA". It matches the Rfam family "Bacterial small subunit ribosomal RNA", at positions 524 to 776 of the family's 1533-position model. The record is from RNAcentral.
UACGGGGGGUGCGAGCGUUGUCCGGAAUCACUGGGCGUAAAGGGCGCGUAGGUGGUUUGAUAAGGGUGUGGUGAAAGCCCGGGGCUCAACCCCGGGUCUGCCGUGCCGACUGUCAAACUCGAGGGCUGUAGAGGCAGACGGAAUUCCGGGUGUAGCGGUGGAAUGCGUAGAGAUCCGGAGGAAGACCGGUGGCGAAGGCGGCCAUCUGGACGACAACUGACGCUGAGAUGCGAAAGCGUGGGGAGCAAACAGG